RNAcentral lists this ribosomal RNA (511 nucleotides) under uncultured Pseudomonadota bacterium. RNAcentral's name for it is "bacterial SSU rRNA". It matches the Rfam family "Bacterial small subunit ribosomal RNA", at positions 355 to 857 of the family's 1533-position model. The record is from RNAcentral. Lineage: Bacteria; Pseudomonadati; Pseudomonadota.
UGGGGAAUCUUGCGCAAUGGGCGAAAGCCUGACGCAGCGACGCCGCGUGGGUGAUGAAGGCCUUCGGGUCGUAAAGCCCUGUCAAGAGGGACGAAACCUCGCCGACCUAACACGUCGGCGACCUGACGGUACCUCUGAAGGAAGCACCGGCUAACUCCGUGCCAGCAGCCGCGGUAAUACGGAGGGUGCGAGCGUUGUUCGGAAUUACUGGGCGUAAAGCGCGUGUAGGCGGCCUCCUCAGUCUGGUGUGAAAGCCCGGGGCUCACCCCCGGAAGUGCAUUGGAUACUGGGAGGCUGGAGUACCGGAGAGGAGGGUGGAAUUCCUGGUGUAGCGGUGAAAUGCGUAGAUAUCAGGAGGAACACCGGUGGCGAAGGCGGCCCUCUGGACGGAUACUGACGCUGAGACGCGAAAGCGUGGGGAGCAAACAGGAUUAGAUACCCUGGUAGUCCACGCCGUAAACGAUGGGCACUAGGUGUUCGGGGUAUUGACCCCUGAGUGCCGCAGCUAACG